Molecule: long non-coding RNA, 574 nt
Organism: Thamnophis elegans (Western terrestrial garter snake)
Lineage: Eukaryota; Metazoa; Chordata; Lepidosauria; Squamata; Natricidae
Exons: 2
Source: RefSeq, a predicted model, not a curated record
AAAGAGAGAGAGAGAGAGACGAGACGAGUGCUGAGUCAACUCAACCCUGGGAUGGCUUGCGAGCCUUUUGCUGAGUCGGCUGGAUGUUUGCAGAUCUGCUGUUUGACAUCCACAUCUGCCUCUCCCAGGUCCUUGGGGAGGACUCAAUGGAUGGAUAAAAAUGCCAAAUCCAGUCAAAACAUCUGGCUGACUAUGCAACCCACUAUAUUAAGCCAGGUAUAUAAAUCACAAUAUACAGCCCUGUUUUUACCGGGCCAUGAAAUCAGAGGCGAAGCAGGAUGCUAUAUUGAAGAUUUGAAAUGCAAAACAAAAGUUUAUUUAGGAAGGGUGUAGCACAACACUACCGAGGAAUUAAUUUUGAGGCAGAUAUUUAAAAAAAACAAACCAGAUGUUUGUGGUUACAGAGUAAGAGGCCUGUUGAUUUUCAUUUACAGGAAGAAGCAUGUUAUUCUUGAGAACAGAACAAUGUUGACGUUGGGGGGAGCAUCGAGCUGUUGUAGGGGAUCUAAAAGGACAUCUAUCCAACCCUCUAUCAGUUGGAACACCUUUUCUCCUUAUGGAAGGCUGAAGAACA